AUCGCUUCUCGGCCUUUUGGCUAAGAUCAAGUGUAUGAUCUCGAGGUAUGCUCCUUCUAUCCUUACUUUCUUGAGGCUUUUUAUCAAGAAAGGAUGGUGUAUUUUGUCAAAUGCUUUCUCUGCAUCUAUUGAGAGGAUCAUAUGGUUCUUA
This is a small nuclear RNA of 151 nucleotides. Its record names the gene U2. It matches the Rfam family "U2 spliceosomal RNA". Rfam says of the family: U2 is a small nuclear RNA (snRNA) component of the spliceosome (involved in pre-mRNA splicing). The record is from Ensembl.